UUUCGACGUAGGUAUAAGACGGGGUAGAGUGACGAAAAUGUGUUCGCACAUUUUUGCGCCCCCUGUAUUAUUUAAAUCGACGACGAACGCGUGCACUUUUCUCCUGGUAGGACGUCGCAAUCCGUUGGGUGUCGGUCUACGGUUCGCGGAGGAGCCCGUUCUGAUAUUUCGAUUGAUGAGCGGACCCGUGUUAUUCCUGACCGACUCGCUCGACGGUAUACAAAUGGUAUGUGGCCGCUCGCUUUGGAGCGUUCGACUCGUGGCAAGCGCGCCCGAUGCGUCGGCGGUCGGACCUAGUGCCGAUCCUGACCUCUGGUGACUGUUGGCCACGAUGUUCUCGGACAGAGCCGAUUACCGAUUUGCGACGCUAUAGCUUUGGGUACUUUCAGGACCCGUCUUGAAACACGGACCAAGGAGUCUAGCAUGUACGCAAGUCAUUGGGAAUCAUUAAACCUAAAGGCGCAAUGAAAGUAAAGGUCUUCCUUGCGAGGACCUAGGGAAGAUGUGCGGUUGACCGUUAAAAGUUGCCGUGCCGCAUUCCCGGGGCGUCUCAUUCUCA
RNAcentral lists this ribosomal RNA (559 nucleotides) under Tomicus yunnanensis. RNAcentral describes it as "eukaryotic LSU rRNA". It matches the Rfam family "Eukaryotic large subunit ribosomal RNA", at positions 483 to 779 of the family's 3401-position model. Lineage: Eukaryota; Metazoa; Arthropoda; Insecta; Coleoptera; Curculionidae. The record is from RNAcentral.